Molecule: Y RNA, 109 nt
Filed under: Propithecus coquereli (Coquerel's sifaka)
Lineage: Eukaryota; Metazoa; Chordata; Mammalia; Primates; Indriidae
Description: Y RNA (ENSPCOG00000010133.1)
Rfam family: Y RNA
About the family: Y RNAs are components of the Ro ribonucleoprotein particle (Ro RNP), in association with Ro60 and La proteins. The Y RNAs and Ro60 and La proteins are well conserved, but the function of the Ro RNP is not known.
Source: RNAcentral
GGCUGGUCCAAAGGUAGUGGGUUAUCUCCCUCGAUUGUUCACAGUCAUUACAGCUUGAACUCUUUGUUCUACUACUUUCCUCCCUUCUCACCUCUGCACUUGUCUUAAA